This 852-nucleotide ribosomal RNA is filed under the name Berkeleyomyces basicola. RNAcentral's name for it is "partial large subunit ribosomal RNA". It matches the Rfam family "Eukaryotic large subunit ribosomal RNA", at positions 49 to 930 of the family's 3401-position model. Lineage: Eukaryota; Fungi; Ascomycota; Sordariomycetes; Microascales; Ceratocystidaceae. The record is from RNAcentral.
AGCGGAGGAAAAGAAACCAACAGGGAUUGCCCUAGUAACGGCGAGCGAAGCGGCAACAGCUCAAAUUUGAAAUCUGGCUAUUUUGUAGUCCGAGUUGUAAUUUGUAGAGGAUGCUUUUGGUGAGGUGCCUUCCGAGUUCCCUGGAACGGGACGCCAGAGAGGGUGAGAGCCCCGUACGGUUGGAUACCAAACCUUUGUAUAGCUCCUUCGACGAGUCGAGUAGUUUGGGAAUGCUGCUCUAAAUGGGAGGUAUAUCUCUUCUAAAGCUAAAUAUAGGCUAGAGACCGAUAGCGCACAAGUAGAGUGAUCGAAAGAUGAAAAGCACUUUGAAAAGAGAGUUAAACAGCACGUGAAAUUGUUGAAAGGGAAGCGCCUAUGACCAGACUUGUUUCUUUCAGUUUUGUUAGUUUUCGGACUGAUUUACUCUGUUAGUACAGGCCAGCAUCAGUUUGUUGUCAGGGAGAAAGGCUUAGGGAAUGUGGCUCUUUCGGGAGUGUUAUAGCCCUUUGCAUAAUACCUUUCGGCAGACUGAGGACCGCGCUUCGGCAAGGAUGCUGGCGUAAUGGUCAUCAGCGACCCGUCUUGAAACACGGACCAAGGAGUCAACCUUAUGUGCGAGUGUUUGGGUGUAAAACCCCAGCGCGUAAUGAACGUGAACGUAGGUGAGAGCUUCGGCGCAUCAUCGACCGAUUCUGAUGUUCUCGGAUGGAUUUGAGUAAGAGCACACAGGGUUGGACCCGAAAGAAGGUGAACUAUGCUUGUAUAGGGUGAAGCCAGAGGAAACUCUGGUGGAGGCUCGCAGCGGUUCUGACGUGCAAAUCGAUCGUCAAAUAUGAGCAUGGGGGCGAAAGA